GGCCAUUAAGUUGAAGGACCUUAGUGAGUGUCUAGACACAUUUUCCAAGGCCCUCCUCACCUUGACCAUGGCCAUCUCUUUUUCUUUGGAACUGACAAUAUUUACAAUCUUUGUUGCUAAUUUGUAAAAGUACUGUAUAAGCCUUUUAACAUUUCUCAGAUUUAUUUUUCAGUAUGUAGUUUUCUUUUUGGGGGGGAUUUAGUCAUUUAACUUUCACAUGAGUGACAAUGUAUGUAGAAAUAUCACAUGAGAAAUAAAAUUGUCCAAAUGCAAUCAACAUAAAUAAUUUAAAUUUUCUAGAGGCAUAUUAAAAUAAAGUGAAAAUGUAAAGUUAAUUUUAAUAAUUUAUUUUAUUUAAGCUAAUAUAUCUGAAAUAUUGUCAUUCCAAUGUGUAAUUAAUAUACAAAAUUAUUGAGAUGUUUCCUUUGCGGGGGGAGGUCUUGGUGUGUAUUUCACACUUACAGCACAUGUUAAUUUGAAGCAGCUGUCCUCUAAAAGCUCAAUAGCUGCAUGUGGCUAGUGGCUACCAUAUUGAAUAGUGCAGCUAUAGACUUGAAGGUCUGAACUGUGUUUUCUACUUUGUGACCUCAGUUAUGCUUUCGAUUUGUAUUUUUUUUUUGCUUUUACCAUCUCACUGUACUUUGCGGUUUUAGUCAUCGACAGUGCAGGUUUAUUAGCACAAAAAGAAAACCAAACGAAGCAAGACCGAACAACCUAGUAAUUAUUCUUCAGGACACAUGCGAUUUGACAACACAUAGUCUACCUGAGCUGCAUAUAGGAUUGAAACAGAAAGCUGACAUAUGGAGCUUCCUGAAGGCUUCAGGCCCCAUUUCAGCAUCUAUGCAUUUAUGCAUAAAAUACAAAGACGGUCAAGGAAAAGACUCUCUAUUCACUACGACAGGAAGAAGAAAAAGACAACACAGGCAUAAUCGUCAGUGGUCAAAUUGAAGAAGAGUUUAUUAACAGCUACAAAAGAAGGAGCAUCAUUUUCCUAGCAAAGAUUCUGGCCAAUGAUUAUUUCUUAUCUCCAGUCUCUGCUGGAAAAGACAUUCUAUGCUCAGGGGACAGAUUUUUCAGAGCCUCCCAGGCCAGCAUGUAAGGAUAUGAGUAAAUGUAAAAAAGAUGGCACCACACAGUGGAUGCAUUGUCGGGAAAGCAAAUGAUUUUACAUGACUCACAGCAAAGAAAGGAUGCAUAAGGCCACAAAUGACAGUUUGAUGGAUAGAGAUGGAUGGCCAAAGGGAAACCUCACUUAAAAUUCCUCCUUUGAACAUUCCUCCACUGAAGAAUUUCAUAGAACUACACUGUAUUUUUUCUCCCCUUUCAGUCUUUUAAUAAUUUAUUUGCCUGACUCUAAAAGCAAUGUAUGUUCUUUAGAACAAUGUUGAGAGUACGAAAAAGAAAAAAGAAUAAUAAAAGAUGACCUUUCUUCCUGAACCAGCCAGAGGAAAUCAUUGUUAACAGUUUGACUUAUUUCCUUCUAGUCUUUCUUUUUACAGAUUUUUAUGUAGUGGAGAUAUUGCUGUGCUCUUCAUUUUACAUUUUAACGUGAACAUUUUCUUAUGUAAUUAAACAUUUCUUUGACUACAACUGACUUUGUCAUGCUAACAAUUUUUUCCAUUAUAAAUGAUGCUGUGAUGAAAAUAUUUGUACCUAAAUCAUUUACUACAGUUUCACGUUGUUUUUUUUAAAGUAGGUGGCAAAGAGAAAUUACUGGGUCACAAAAAGUAGAAACUUUUGUAAGGGUUUCAAAAUUAUAUUGCUAUGUUCUCUUCAAAAAAGGCUACAUUUUCCUUCCGAGAGCUAUUUCCCACCAUGUUUGGCAAACAAUAUAAAACCAGAUCACUGGACUUCUUAUUUCUAGUUUUGCUCCCACAUCAUUGUUUUUAUUCCCUUUUUGUAGUUUUGCUGAUGAUAUGGCAUAAAUUGUUGUCAAUAACUUCAUGGAAUAUCCUCAUCCUGGUAGCGUCUUGUCUCUGGCAUCUCCUCAAGUUUUUAUGAACAGACAGGACAGAGAAGAGAGUUUUGGAAAUAUUUGCUUCCAUUAAAAGUUUCAUUGAUUUAACUUCAGCAGAUGGAUUAGCAGGAAAAAUUUUGGGGAAAGAUCUACUUUCCCUGCAUUCUAAGAGAGCACUAUUUGAUAUACCUCACUCUCUUGUUGCUUGGCGCAUGAAUUACUUUUUCCCCCCUCUUUUUAUGGCCACACCAGUGUUAUAUGGAAGUUCCCAAUCUAAGGGUCUAAUGGGAGUUUCCCCUGCAGGCCUAUGCCACAGACACAGAACACUGGAUCCGAGAUGCAUCUGUGAUGUUUGCCACAGCUUGUGGCAAUGCCAAGUCCUUAACCCACUGAGCAAGGCCAGGGAUCAAAACUGCAUCCUCAUGGAGACUAUGUCAGGGUCCUUAACCUGCUGAACCACAACAGGAACUCCAUAAAUUACAUUUUAAAAUUUGUAGUAGCCUACAUUUAUCUAUAAUUUACUAUGUUCCAAGUAUUUUAUCUUUUGGAUUUCAUCAUUUCAUCCUCAAAAUUAAUCUAUAAAGAAGACACAGUUUUCAGUUCCUUUUUUAUCAUUAAGGGUCCUUAUCUUUAGAGCUGGAGAAUAAAUCACUCAAAUUACAAUGUUCUUAAAUAGCAGAGUCAAGAUUCAACCCCAGAAUCUAGAAAGUCUAGUUUGAAAACAAUUGCCUGUUCUUAACUGCUGCCACUAUAUGGCCUCAAAUUCAUGUAGAAAUUUCCCAGUUUGUCCAAUACCUUCUGUUGUCUUUGCACCUGCAACUCUUCAUUGCACAUAACUGUUUCCUAGUUGACUCUUAGCUCCUUGAGGGCAGGUUGGUACCCUGUUCAUUGUCAUCUGUCUACUGUCUGACGCAGUAUCAGGAAACUCAUAGGUGCUCAGGAAACAUUCAUUGAGUACAUGGUGUGAGUCAAAAAUCUUGGAAGAGAGACACGGCAUGAUAUUUUGCGGUGUUAUUCUUUAAAAGUUUUCCAGAGUAGACAGUUUUGUUCUUAUGAAUGCAAUUUAAAGAAAAGGAACUGAUUUGUUCGGUACUGUGAGAACUUUUGGCUACUAAAAUGACAUUUAGUAGUCAAACAGAGGGAAAAAAAUUAUUCAGCACUCUUUUAAAGAUUUCCUAACUGUUGCAAACCAAAUCCUUUUUAAAAAAAAACAAGUCUAAAAUGAUAUAUAAUAAUUUAGUUAGAAUUCAGGCGAAGCUUCAUGGAGUCAAUUUUUUUUUUACUUUGGUUUUUUUCAAAGUGUAGCUCAGUGGGUGUAAACCCACACAAAC
RNAcentral lists this long non-coding RNA (3288 nucleotides) under Sus scrofa (pig). RNAcentral's name for it is "lncRNA (ENSSSCG00000052706.1)". The record is from RNAcentral. Lineage: Eukaryota; Metazoa; Chordata; Mammalia; Artiodactyla; Suidae.